CAGUCGCCGCGGUAAUACGUAGGGUGCGAGCGUUACCCGGAUUUACUGGGCGUAAAGGGCGUGUAGGCGGCCUGGGGCGUCCCAUGUGAAAGGCCACGGCUCAACCGUGGAGGAGCGUGGGAUACGCUCAGGCUAGAGGGUGGGAGAGGGUGGUGGAAUUCCCGGAGUAGCGGUGAAAUGCGCAGAUACCGGGAGGAACGCCGAUGGCGAAGGCAGCCACCUGGUCCACUUCUGACGCUGAGGCGCGAAAGCGUGGGGAGCAAACCGGAUUAGAUACCCGCGUAGUCCCUGUCUCUUAUAC
This 301-nucleotide ribosomal RNA is filed under the name uncultured bacterium. RNAcentral's name for it is "partial 16S ribosomal RNA". It matches the Rfam family "Bacterial small subunit ribosomal RNA", at positions 509 to 807 of the family's 1533-position model. The record is from RNAcentral.